CGGGCGGGGGCUAUACAUGCAGUCGAGCGGACCGACGGGAGCUUGCUCCCUUAGGUCAGCGGCGGACGGGUGAGUAACACGUGGGUAACCUGCCUGUAAGACUGGGAUAACUCCGGGAAACCGGGGCUAAUACCGGAUGCUUGAUUGAACCGCAUGGUUCAAUCAUAAAAGGUGGCUUUUAGCUACCACUUACAGAUGGACCCGCGGCGCAUUAGCUAGUUGGUGAGGUAACGGCUCACCAAGGCGACGAUGCGUAGCCGACCUGAGAGGGUGAUCGGCCACACUGGGACUGAGACACGGCCCAGACUCCUACGGGAGGCAGCAGUAGGGAAUCUUCCGCAAUGGACGAAAGUCUGACGGAGCAACGCCGCGUGAGUGAUGAAGGUUUUCGGAUCGUAAAACUCUGUUGUUAGGGAAGAACAAGUACCGUUCGAAUAGGGCGGUACCUUGACGGUACCUAACCAGAAAGCCACGGCUAACUACGUGCCAGCAGCCGCGGUAAUACGUAGGUGGCAAGCGUUGUCCGGAAUUAUUGGGCGUAAAGCGCGCGCAGGCGGUUUCUUAAGUCUGAUGUGAAAGCCCCCGGCUCAACCGGGGAGGGUCAUUGGAAACUGGGGAACUUGAGUGCAGAAGAAGAGAGUGGAAUUCCACGUGUAGCGGUGAAAUGCGUAAAGAUGUGGAGGAACACCAGUGGCGAAGGCGACUCUCUGGUCUGUAACUGACGCUGAAGCGCGAAAGCGUGGGGAGCGAACAGGAUUAGAUACCCUGGUAGUCCACGCCGUAAACGAUGAGUGCUAAGUGUUAGAGGGUUUCCGCCCUUUAGUGCUGCAGCAAACGCAUUAAGCACUCCGCCUGGGGAGUACGGUCGCAAGACUGAAACUCAAAGGAAUUGACGGGGGCCCGCACAAGCGGUGGAGCAUGUGGUUUAAUUCGAAGCAACGCGAAGAACCUUACCAGGUCUUGACAUCCUCUGACAACCCUAGAGAUAGGGCUUCCCCUUCGGGGGCAGAAUGACAGGUGGUGCAUGGUUGUCGUCAGCUCGUGUCGUGAAAUGUUGGGUUAAGUCCCGCAACGAGCGCAACCCUUGAUCUUAAUUGCCAGCAUUCAGUUGGGGCAUUCUAAGGUGACUGCCCGUGAACAAACCGGAAGAAAG
Molecule: ribosomal RNA, 1153 nt
Filed under: Bacillus sp. (in: firmicutes)
Lineage: Bacteria; Bacillati; Bacillota; Bacilli; Caryophanales; Bacillaceae
Description: bacterial SSU rRNA
Rfam family: Bacterial small subunit ribosomal RNA
Source: RNAcentral